Molecule: long non-coding RNA, 621 nt
Organism: Canis lupus familiaris (dog)
Lineage: Eukaryota; Metazoa; Chordata; Mammalia; Carnivora; Canidae
Exons: 5
Source: RefSeq, a predicted model, not a curated record
GGGGCCUCGGAGAAGCAACGGCCGAAGCUCACCGGGUGUGGAGGAGGUGGGGCUGCGGCAGGAGGGAGGGAACGACUGAAGGUCCUGGGAAAGGCGGUGGGACAAGCCAGACCAGCUCUGCCCUUUCCAGACAGGACGCAAUUCCUUUUUGUAGUAUAAGAACGGGCAAAACAUCAUAGCCACCAGAAACUGGCAUCUGAAAGGAAAACUGUAGUUUCUACCCUCAGAAUUCUGCGCAAUCUGUGAACUCCUUGAAAGAAAUGUCUGAACUCCAUGCCUCUGCCACAAUCUCCUGAAAUCCAUUUGAGGAGUUCCAGAAAACUCAAUAUGCUAUGUGAACUGUAUGAGAACUACUGGCUACAGCUUAAAUCAGAUGAGAAAUCUCUAAGUGAACAUUUUGGGGAAAGGAAAGGAAAGCACUUUACAGUUGAAAAUUGCAGUAGCUGAUAAACAAGGAAGAUGGAUUGAGCAGGGACAGUCCCUUCUGCUCAGCUGCAACUAUUCUGGUCAAACUAGUCUGUCAAUACCAAAAUAUAUCACCUCUGACAUUAAGAAGUAGAGAAGAGAGGAUGAGACAGAGAAAAAAGACAGCUCAAUUUGGUUCAAUUCAAUAAAUAUUUA